Molecule: long non-coding RNA, 723 nt
Filed under: Sus scrofa (pig)
Lineage: Eukaryota; Metazoa; Chordata; Mammalia; Artiodactyla; Suidae
Description: lncRNA (ENSSSCG00070028212.1)
Source: RNAcentral
AUGGCAAUGCCAGAUCCAAGCCUCACCUGCGACCUACACCACAGCUUACAGCAACACUGGAUCCUUAAGCCACUGAGCGAAGCCAGGGAUCAAGCCUGCAUCCUCAUGGAUACUAGUCAGAUUCAUUUCUGCUGCACCACAACGGGAACUCCCUGAGCUGCUUUUUAAACCACUGAUAGCGUGAAACCUGUUAGGGUGGGAAUAUUUACACCAUGGAAACUGGCACACUCUUCAAAUCAGGGCACUUUUUUUUUUUUUUUUAAGGAGCCUGUUUACCAAGAUAUACAUGGCUUCUUGCAAAGCCAUUCUUUUUGUUGGAAAAACUCUUCCAGGGAUAAUGUCAGUUUCAUAUAUGGGAAGAACAUAGCCCUCUGGAACCCUAGACAGCCAUGAGGACUCAAAAAAAAACCAAUGUUGAUAGAAACGUUGACCAGGAGGGAGAGACACCAGAAUACAGGCACACAGAGAAGAGGCCACCUGAGGACACAGCCAGAAGGCGCCCGUCUGUAGUUCUUGCCAGACAUCUACCCUGCCAGCACCUUGCUCUUAGACGUCCAGCCUCCAGAACUGUGAGAAUAUAAAUUUCUGUAUUUAACCCACCCAGGCCUUGGUACUUCUGUUUUGGCAACUCUCGCUGACUCAUAUAAUCUACAACGCUUGUCGAUUUCUUAUUUUCUGCUUUUGUCCGUUUCUUGAUCAAUUCUGCAGAAUGAGACACCGUCC